UAAGUUAUUGUCGGUUGCCUUUCAAAAGAAAAAAGUAGUGUAAAAUUCAGAAAGACCAAGAUAAAAAGGAACAAAUAAAAUGACCCAUCUUCUUCAAUGGAGCUUUGAAGCAGCAACCAAGACCAUCUCGAUUUCCCUCCCCAUUUCAUCUUUUUCAAAGGACCAUGUCUUGUGUGAGUGCGAUGCACGAUGAAGAGGCUUCUGAUAGAGCAGCUGCAACUGAAGCAAACACCGGAGCCCCAACAAUGCUGAACCAAAACACGAAGACAUAAGGGUCAUCUUCUGCAUGCAUCGAAAAUAGUAGCAGAAAAAGAAGGCAUUGUUGACGGAUUCCGUGUUGUCAUAAACAGCGGUGCUACAGCAUGUCAAUUGGUUUACCAUCUACAUUUGCAUGUUAUUGGAGGAAGACAGAUGAAAUGGCACCAGGUUGAUUUGAGGUUUAAACAAUCAUCUCAUUGCUUCCAUUUUCAUUUACAUUUGGGUGGUUACAUACUAUAUGGAGGUUGCAUUGGAUGCAGGUGUAUUAAUGUAUCGUCUUAACUUGAAUGAGGAUUAUUUUCCCAUCUUUGUCUGGUUUUCCAAUCCUCAAUAAUGAUUUUCAAAGUGGAAAUUACUUAAUUGCAUAUCUUUGAGUUUUAUCAUAAAAAGUCAAAUUCAGGAUUAUCUCACUCCCAAUAAUGAGGAAGAGAUUAUGCCACAAUCUAACAAAAAAAAAUUUGUUGUUAUUCUUAAUGGGCUACUAAGAACGAGGAACUUGCGUUUUUCUUGCCCUUUCCAAAAACCGAUGUUGCCAUCAAUAAGUACGUACACUACCACACUAAGACUCCGGUGAUGACUUCAUGAGUGAUUCCGACAAUGGUCUAUGGUGAACUAAAAAAACAGCAACAGUAACACAAAGGUAUCAUUGUUUCUGCGUUGAGAUGGUGAUGUUAGAUGGAGGAUGGUUCUGAUGAUGGUAGUUCAGAGACUCUGACAGGUGUUGUUCUCUUUGUGAAUAAUCAUCUUACACAUAUAUUAAUUUUUCUUCUGUACCUUAGUUAGAUAUUGAUUAACUAAUUGUUACCUAAGUGUUAAAAUUUUAAAAAUAAAAUUUAUUUUGUGUGAAAUAUUGAAGAGAAAAACAAAUUGUGAUAAAU
Erigeron canadensis is the source of this 1136-nucleotide long non-coding RNA. RefSeq lists it as uncharacterized. The transcript is spliced from 4 exons. The record is from RefSeq and is a predicted model, not a curated record. NCBI's taxonomy places the organism in Eukaryota, Viridiplantae, Streptophyta, Magnoliopsida, Asterales, Asteraceae.